RNAcentral lists this ribosomal RNA (499 nucleotides) under uncultured bacterium. RNAcentral's name for it is "bacterial SSU rRNA". It matches the Rfam family "Bacterial small subunit ribosomal RNA", at positions 25 to 518 of the family's 1533-position model. The record is from RNAcentral.
CAGGACGAACGCUAGCGGCAGGCUAACACAUGCAAGUCGAGGGGCAUCGGGAGUAGCAAUACUGCCGGCGACCGGCGCAAGGGUGCGUAACGCGUGAGCAACAUGCCCGUAUCAGGGGGAUAAUCCAUGGAAACGUGGUCUAAUACCCCAUAGUAAUUAUGUAAGGCAUCUUAUAUAAUUUAAAGCUUUGGUGGAUACGGAUUGGCUCGCGUGACAUUAGCUGGAUGGUAAGGUAACGGCUUACCAUGGCUACGAUGUCUAGGGGUUCUGAGAGGAAGGUCCCCCCACACUGGAACUGAGACACGGUCCAGACUCCUACGGGAGGCAGCAGUGAGGAAUAUUGGACAAUGGAUGGAAAUCUGAUCCAGCCAUGCCGCGUGCAGGGAAAGACGGCCCUAUGGGUUGUAAACUGCUUUUGUAUGGGAGCAAUAAGGGCUACGUGUAGUCCGAUGAGAGUACCAUACGAAUAAGCACCGGCUAACUCCGUGCCAGCAGCAGC